RNAcentral lists this ribosomal RNA (745 nucleotides) under uncultured Microgenomates group bacterium. RNAcentral describes it as "bacterial SSU rRNA". It matches the Rfam family "Bacterial small subunit ribosomal RNA", at positions 578 to 1335 of the family's 1533-position model. The record is from RNAcentral.
GUUUAUUAAGUUGGGGGUGAAAUCUCCGGGCUCAACCCGGAGCUCGUUCUCAAAACUGGUAGACUUGAGUAAGGUAGAGGCUGACGGAAUUCUGCAAGUAGGGGUAAAAUCCGUUGAUCUGCAGAGGAACACCAAAAGCGAAGGCAGUCAGCUGGGCCUUUACUGACGCUGAGGGACGAAAGCGUGGGUAGCGAACGGGAUUAGAUACCCCGGUAGUCCACGCCGUAAAUGAUGGAUACUGGACAUUGGUACUCGAUCGUAUCAGUGUCUCAAGCUAACGCAUUAAGUAUCCCGCCUGGGGAGUACGGUCGCAAGAUUAAAACUCAAAGGAAUAGACGGGGACCCACACAAGCGGUGGAGCAUGUGGUUUAAUUCGACAAUAAGCGAGGAACCUUACCAGGGCUUGACAUCCCGAGAAUUCUUUAGAAAUAGAGAAGUGCCUUUAUGGAACUCGGUGACAGGUGCUGCAUGGUUGUCGUCAGCUCGUGCCUUGAGGUGUUCGGUUAAGUCCGUAAACGAGCGCAACCCUAGUCCUAUGUUGUAUAUUUCAUAGGAGACUGCCUUGUCCAACGAGGAGGAAGGUUAGGAUGACGUCAAAUCAGCAUGGCCCUUAUGUCCUGGGCGACACACGUGCUACAAUGGUCGGUACAAUGGGUAGCCAACCCGCGAGGGGGAGCCAAUCCCAUCAAAGCCGGUCCAAGUUCGGAUUGGAGGCUGCAACUCGCCUCCAUGAAGUUGGAAUCGC